CUACGGCGGCGAGAAGCUGCAAAAAUUGAGCGGCUGGUGGCUUUGUCGGAACUCGGAAGUGAGUUUGCAGUUGAUGGAGUUGAGAAAAAUUGACUAAGAGGAGAGGUGUUUGGCGGCCCAGAAACCCGAUUAUGCCGUGAGAGAGUGGUGUAUAUUGCGGCACAGAGUGGUGGCGGUUUGGUGUCCCCUGCCAUGGACGAUGGUGGGGAACGGUGGUGGACUGGUGGUUUUGUUUGAGA
Molecule: long non-coding RNA, 239 nt
Filed under: Erythranthe guttata (spotted monkey flower)
Lineage: Eukaryota; Viridiplantae; Streptophyta; Magnoliopsida; Lamiales; Phrymaceae
Description: long non-coding RNA (EGUT_LNC003586)
Source: RNAcentral